UACGUAGGAUGCAAGCGUUGUUCGGAAUUACUGGGCGUAAAGAGUACGUAGGCGGUUUGAUAAGUCUGAUAUUAAAGACUGGGGCUUAACUUCAGGAAUGUAUCGGAAAACUGUCAGACUAGAGGACAAUAGAGGAAGUCGGAAUUCUCAGUGUAGCGGUGAAAUGCGUAGAUAUUGGGAAGAACACCAGUGGCGAAAGCGGACUUCUGGGUUGUUACUGACGCUGGAGGUACGAAAGCGUGGGGAGCAAACGGG
This 255-nucleotide ribosomal RNA is filed under the name uncultured bacterium. RNAcentral describes it as "partial 16S ribosomal RNA". It matches the Rfam family "Bacterial small subunit ribosomal RNA", at positions 524 to 776 of the family's 1533-position model. The record is from RNAcentral.